RNAcentral lists this ribosomal RNA (307 nucleotides) under uncultured cyanobacterium. Its description in RNAcentral is "bacterial SSU rRNA". It matches the Rfam family "Bacterial small subunit ribosomal RNA", at positions 28 to 339 of the family's 1533-position model. Lineage: Bacteria; Bacillati; Cyanobacteriota. The record is from RNAcentral.
GACGAACGCUGGCGGCGUGCUUCAUACAUGCAAGUCGAACGAGAAGCUCACUUCGGUGAGUGGAAAGUGGCGGACGGGUGAGUAAUGUGUAGAGAAUCUACCCUUGAGAGGGGGACAACAGUUGGAAACGACUGCUAAUACCCCAUAUGAGCGUACCUGAAAUGGUAUUCUUGAAAACUCCGGUGCUCAAGGAUGAGUCUGCAUCUGAUUAGCUAGUUGGUGGUGUAAUGGACUACCAAGGCGACGAUCAGUAGCUGGUUUGAGAGGAUGAUCAGCCACAAUGGGACUGAGACACGGCCCAUACUCC